CUGGUGUAGAUUUGCCUGUGAGUGGGGCUUUUGCUCUGCACCUUUGCAGAGAGGCAUGUGAGUGUUUCUGCCAGCUCUGCUCCACAUGUCUUCAUUUUGCAACCCAGGCUGUUGAAGUAACAUUUAUCUGGAACAUAAAUGGUCAUCUUGAUACAGAGAAGAGAGACUUACACCACACACAGACUUUUUACUUUUUAAAAACAGCUUUAUUGAGGUAUAAUUUCUUUUCCAUAAAUUCACCCAAGUUAAUGAUUUUUAGGAAAUUUACGGAGCUAUACAACUGAUCACUGCAAUCCAGUUUUAGAACAUUUCAUUUUUAUCACUCCCAGGAAAUCUCCCGUCCCCAUUUACAGUGAACCCACAUUUGUGCCCCCAGCCCUGGGGCAACCAUCAAUCUUUCUGUCUAAAAACCUGCCUUUUAGGGCUAUUC
Molecule: long non-coding RNA, 430 nt
Filed under: Mustela putorius furo (domestic ferret)
Lineage: Eukaryota; Metazoa; Chordata; Mammalia; Carnivora; Mustelidae
Description: lncRNA (ENSMPUG00000030867.1)
Source: RNAcentral